Fonsecaea pedrosoi CBS 271.37 is the source of this 160-nucleotide transfer RNA. It matches the Rfam family "tRNA". From Rfam's summary of the family: Transfer RNA (tRNA) molecules are approximately 80 nucleotides in length. Their secondary structure includes four short double-helical elements and three loops (D, anti-codon, and T loops). Further hydrogen bonds mediate the characteristic L-shaped molecular structure. tRNAs have two regions of fundamental functional importance: the anti-codon, which is responsible for specific mRNA codon recognition, and the 3' end, to which the tRNAs corresponding amino acid is attached (by aminoacyl-tRNA synthetases). tRNAs cope with the degeneracy of the genetic code in two manners: having more than one tRNA (with a specific anti-codon) for a particular amino acid; and 'wobble' base-pairing, i.e. permitting non-standard base-pairing at the 3rd anti-codon position. NCBI's taxonomy places the organism in Eukaryota, Fungi, Ascomycota, Eurotiomycetes, Chaetothyriales, Herpotrichiellaceae. The record is from Rfam.
GUCAGUGUGGCCGAGUGGUCUAAGGCGUGUGACUUGAAUUUAACCGAAACGUCCAACACUCCUCCAGGGGAUAAGCACCCGUGGAGGGCGAACGUUUUCACAAAAUUUCAAUGGCUAUCACAUCUCUUCGGAGGCACAGGUUCGAACCCUGUCGCUGACG